Molecule: long non-coding RNA, 796 nt
Filed under: Homo sapiens (human)
Lineage: Eukaryota; Metazoa; Chordata; Mammalia; Primates; Hominidae
Description: HSALNT0329089
Source: RNAcentral
AAAAUGAAAUUACACAGCAUGUACUCUGGUGACUGACGUUUUGCUCAGAAAAAUAUAUGGGAGAUGUUCCAAGACUCCCAGUGGAUGUCUGAAAUUGAAGAUAAUACCGAACCCAAUUGCCCUCAGUCAGAACAGGAUUCUGUUCAUGUUUUCCGCUCACAAAUUUAAUGACUUUUUCAUCGUAAAUAAGCACUUAUGCACUGUGGGCAUUUUGCAGUUUGAAGUGCAACAGCAAAACUAGCACAGAUUUUAUUUUUCCUUUUCACAAUUUCAUGGAUAGAAGGUUUGUUCUUAUUGUACAUCUUAGCAACCUUGGCAUACGAUUUUUCUUUUCUUUCCUUAUUAAGUUGAGAACUUUCAGUUUUCACUUAAAGGAAACACCUUAUGGCUUCUCUUUGGCAUAGCCAAAAUGCCAGCAUCAUUAUUCUUACACUUUGGGGCCAUUUUUGAGUGAAAUAAGGGUUACUUGAAUGGCAGCUUUGCAACAUCGUGUCGAUCUGAUAACCACAAUGGCUACUAAAGGGCAAAGAGCAUCUACAGCAUGGAUCCGCUGGACAAAAGGAUGCAUGAAGCGGGACAGAGUGAAGUUUUAUCAUGCUACUCAGAACAGUAUGCAAUUUAAAACUUAUGAAUUAUUUCUGGAAUUUUCUGUUUAAUAUUUUCAUACUGUGGUUGGCGGCAAGACCACUGUAUAAGCAAUUUUAGUAUGUAUUAUUUCUGUGGUUAUAUAUGAAAAUAAAGCAUGCUGUCUUUUAUAUUCAAAGGAGUCGUUUGUUUAGUUUAACUUAACUAAAUU